This is a long non-coding RNA of Saccostrea cuccullata (small rock oyster), 1548 nucleotides long. RefSeq lists it as uncharacterized. The transcript has 4 exons. NCBI's taxonomy places the organism in Eukaryota, Metazoa, Mollusca, Bivalvia, Ostreida, Ostreidae. The record is from RefSeq and is a predicted model, not a curated record.
GCAUUGGAAUAAAAAUGCUCAGAAAGAAAAUAUGGAUAAAAAUGUACGUCUUGAACAAAAUUUAUUAAUGAAUUUUUUUUUUCAAUUAUAUAAUUAUUAUCCUUAAACAUGUUAAAUGAUAUAGAAUUAAACUAGAAUAUAAAAAUCAUGCAAACUUGUGUUUAUUAGAUUUUUUUAAUCAGGUCAUUAUAUCCUAAAGCAGGACAUUAUACCCCUGUCGUUUUUAUUAUGUCCAAUAAAAAGUUUAUAUAUUUCAUUGUGCAUUUUGCCACGAUUCUCAAUGAAGAUAACAAUAUUUUAAAUUAUUAUUUCCAAUAAAAAUGAUAUUGUGUAUGCACCAAAAUUGACAAAAAACUAUUUAUUAUAAUCAGUCAGGACAUUGUACUAUAAGGGCAUUAUACACUUCCGGUGUAAACAGCUUACUCAGGAACUGAGGAAGCAGAAUGUUCAAGGCAACCAGAAGCUUGAGUCCAUCCUGAACAUAGAGACAACACAGAUAUUAGCAAAGCUGUAAAUAUUGCUAGAGGAUUAGUUAAUGCAACUCAGCAAGGACUAGUGAUGGAUAUGUUCCAGGUUCCACAGCUAGGAGAAUGUCAGGAAGAAAAGCCUCAUCAUUAAAAGUGUUACAGAGGCACUAAAGGAAACUGAUGGCAUUGUUUUUGUGUGGGUGAUGAGAAUAAGAGUGAGGAGGAGAUAGAUGAUAGUCAAGACAAUCAGGAUGUCCACACUGUCACUCCAGGGAAGAAGAAGUCAUUUCUGAUCCUAGAUCUACUGUGGAAGAUUCUACAUGCAAGUGACAAGAGAUACAAAAAAAUCCCAAGGACAUCAUGAGAAAUGAAUUUAAUCAACAGACAUUGUGGAAAAGAUUUUCUAAAAAAUUGUAAUAGGACCUUAGAGAAGUGUAAAACACCAAGGAUAUACAUUUGUAAUCUUGUUAAAAACAGAGAAAAUCUUGAUUAACAUUCUACUUUCAAUUUAUAUACUUUGAGAAAUAUGAAAAAAACUGUUUUAGAGCCACAGUAAUGGAGGACAUUGAAUUCUUUGCAGCAGUUUUAUCAUUAGGCCAUUCCAUUUUUUUUCUGUGUUUAGUGACUGCAGAUGGAUUGGUUUUGAGAUCAUGCAAAUUAAGAACAAACACAAAAUAAAAUUGACAAAUACAAAUCUUUGACAAGCAAUUUACUCUUCUGGGAUCAGCAUCUCUCUUUUUUUAAAAGUGAUGUGCCUAAGUUUUUUUUUUUUGUUUCAUUAAACUAGUAGUAGUAGUUUAAUUUAGUUAUAAUACGAGGAAAAUUCUUAAAUGAUGCUAAAGGAGUUCUAGAACUUUGCGUAAAAUGUUGUUUUUUCCCCUUUUGGUUUGUGAUUUUUCUUUUGGAACGAAGAAAUGUUUGAAAUAAAGGUUGGAUGGGAAACAAAGAAAAAACUUGGAAUGGCCUCAUAUAACCUACAUGGACUAAACUUGCAUAGAUGAAGAGUGCUUAAGAAGCUGUGCAUGAUGUAUGUAGAAAAUGAUUUUGAAGUAUUAAAUAUUCUAUGCAAAAGGAAAUUUUC